This 464-nucleotide ribosomal RNA is filed under the name uncultured bacterium. Its description in RNAcentral is "bacterial SSU rRNA". It matches the Rfam family "Bacterial small subunit ribosomal RNA", at positions 917 to 1382 of the family's 1533-position model. The record is from RNAcentral.
GGGCCCGCACAAGCGGCGGAGCAUGCGGAUUAAUUCGAUGCAACGCGAAGAACCUUACCUAGGUUUGACAUAUAGGGAAAACUCCUGGAGACAGGAGGUCCGUAAGGGCUCUAUACAGGUGGUGCAUGGCUGUCGUCAGCUCGUGUCGUGAGAUGUUGGGUUAAGUCCCGCAACGAGCGCAACCCUCGUCUUAUGUUGCCAGCACGUAAUGGUGGGGACUCAUAAGAGACUGCCGGGGUCAACUCGGAGGAAGGUGGGGAUGACGUCAAGUCAUCAUGCCCCUUAUGCCUAGGGCUUCACGCAUGCUACAAUGGCUGGUACAAAGGGCUGCGAUACCGCAAGGUGGAGCGAAUCCCAAAAAGCCAGUCUCAGUUCGGAUUGGGGUCUGCAACUCGACCCCAUGAAGUCGGAGUCGCUAGUAAUCGCAGAUCAGCAACGCUGCGGUGAAUACGUUCCCGGGCCUU